Molecule: long non-coding RNA, 649 nt
Filed under: Calidris pugnax (ruff)
Lineage: Eukaryota; Metazoa; Chordata; Aves; Charadriiformes; Scolopacidae
Description: lncRNA (ENSCPUG00000019342.1)
Source: RNAcentral
GUACUGGUUUUGAUUCAAGCCUGUAUUUUCAGUCUCAACACUUACGUAUGCAUAUGUUCCUGUAUAAAUGUGUGUGUAUACACAGGGAAUUUCACAGCAUGAUGCUGGGGAAGUCCAAGAACGGAUCCGUAAAGCUGAGUAAGGUUGGAGAAUUGAAUCCUUCGAGGAAGAUCCUUGCAACUCUGCAAAGACACUGAUAGAACUGGAUGGAAGAACAGGCAGUUGAUUUCCAGGCUCUUUUCAGAAGCCCCAGGACGAGCUGCAUUAGACCGCAGAAGACUUCCUGGCCCAUAUUCCAACUCCUGCCACCUCCAGUUCACCUGCCAAGAGCUCCUGAUCCCAAUCGUGGUGACAAUCUUCAACCCACUGCACUUACCUGACUCACAGCUUGGUCAAGGCAACCAAACUCGGGUGCAGAAGGGUUCUUAAAGUAUGAAAAAGUGCAAGAGAUGGAGCCUGAGAGAAACACCUAUGGGAAAGAAGAAUAUCACCCAGUAGUGGGUGUCACCCACAGGGAAUGGUCGUCAACCUGGGAGCAGGUCACAGUCGUGAAGGAAGGUUGGUUUAUUCAGCAUUCACUCUGAAAGGCUUCUCUUGGGUUAUGUUAUGCUGCAGUAUUGUUUUUAUUCCUAGGCUUCAGAGAUGAUUU